UCCAAUGUGGUGUAGUGGCUAACAUUGCUGUCUUUCAUCAGGGCGAGUUCUUGUUCACAGCAGCCCGGGGUUCGAUUCCCCGCAUUGGAA
Paramarasmius palmivorus is the source of this 90-nucleotide non-coding RNA. The record is from the annotation of a GenBank genome assembly. Lineage: Eukaryota; Fungi; Basidiomycota; Agaricomycetes; Agaricales; Marasmiaceae.